RNAcentral lists this ribosomal RNA (253 nucleotides) under uncultured bacterium. RNAcentral describes it as "partial 16S ribosomal RNA". It matches the Rfam family "Bacterial small subunit ribosomal RNA", at positions 524 to 776 of the family's 1533-position model. The record is from RNAcentral.
CACGUAGGGCGCAAGCGUUGUCCGGAAUUAUUGGGCGUAAAGAGCUCGUAGGCGGUCUGUUGCGUCCGCUGUGAAAACCCGGGGCUUAACCCCUGGCUUGCAGUGGAUACGGACAGACUAGAGGUAGGUAGGGAAGAAUGGAAUUCCCGGUGUAGCGGUGAAAUGCGCAGAUAUCGGGAGGAACACCGGUGGCGAAGGCGGUUCUCUGGGCCUUACCUGACGCCGAGGAGCGAAAGCGUGGGGAGCGAACAGG